RNA transcript from Nerophis ophidion (straightnose pipefish), 3441 nucleotides. It is a transcript of the gene named apelin receptor B-like, with no coding region annotated. NCBI's taxonomy places the organism in Eukaryota, Metazoa, Chordata, Actinopteri, Syngnathiformes, Syngnathidae. The record is from RefSeq and is a predicted model, not a curated record. The transcript has 5 exons.
AAAUGAUAUCUAACAAUAAUAAAAAACAUUUUUUAAAAUCCCCCCUAAAUUAAAAAAAACCUUCAAAUAUUUCAACAUGUUUUAAAGUAAUAGAAUUGAACAUGUAGUGAAGUGGGUGUUUUUACACUGAAAGAGUGGGAGGGAGUGUGGUGAAGAAGAGGAGGGGGGCAUCCUGGGAAUGUAAGGAGGGGUGUGUGUGUGUGUGUGCGUGUGUAUAUAAGCCCGGGCAGGUCACACAAGCAGCAACACACACACACACACACACACACACACACACACACACACACUGCAAGUGUUGUCAUUCCCUGAGCAGCAGCAGCCAUGGAUCCCACACCGAGUCCUUACGACUACUACGACUAUGACGAGACGGAGAACUCCACCAUGUGCGACUACUCGGAGUGGACGCCGUCCUACUCCGUCAUCCCCGUGCUCUACAUGCUCAUCUUCAUCCUGGGCCUGUCGGGGAACGGCGUGGUCAUCUUCACCGUGUGGCGGGCGCAGGGCAAGCGGCGGGCGGCCGACGUCUACAUCGGCAACCUGGCGCUGGCCGACCUCACCCUGGUGGUGACGCUGCCCCUGUGGGCGGUCUACACGGCCAUGGGCUACCACUGGCCCUUCGGGGUGGCCUUGUGCAAGCUCAGCAGCUACGUGGUGCUCCUCAACAUGUACGCCAGCGUCUUCUGCCUCACCUGCAUGAGCUUCGACCGCUACCUGGCCAUCGUGCACUCCCUGUCCAGCACGCAGCUGCGCACCCGCGGCCACAUGCGCGGCUCCCUGGCCGCCAUCUGGAUCAUCUCGGGGCUGCUCGCCGCGCCCACCCUUAUAUUCCGCACCACCAGGCACGACCCGGCCAGCAACCGCACCUCCUGCGCCAUGGACUUCGCGCUGGUGAUGAGCAACAAGCAGCAGGAGAACUUGUGGAUCGCCGGGCUGAGCAUCUCCUCGUCGGCGCUGGGCUUCCUGCUGCCCUUCCUGGCCAUGAUGGUCUGCUACGGCUUCAUCGGCUGCACCGUCACGCGUCAUUUCAACACGCUGCGCAAGGAGGACCAGCGCAAGAGGCGGCUGCUGAAGAUCAUCACCACGCUGGUGGUGGUCUUCGCCGCCUGCUGGAUCCCCUUCCACGUGGUGAAGAGCGCCGACGCCCUCUCCUACCUGGACCUCUUCCCCGCCACCUGCGCCUUCCUGCGCUUCCUCCUCCUGGCCCACCCGUACGCCACCUGCCUGGCCUACGUCAACAGCUGCCUCAACCCCUUCCUCUACGCCUUCUUCGACCUGCGCUUCCGCUCGCAGUGCCUCUGCCUGCUCCACCUCAAGAAGUCCUUGCACGCCAGCCCCGCCGGCUCCUUGUCCUCCCAGAAGACGGAGGCCCAGUCCCUCGCCACCAAGGUCUAACUAACUGAGUUGGCGCGGGGGGUUUCGCAGCCUGCCGGACUGCUCGCAACAGGCUCGCGACCCGAGGGCGCCACGGCCUCGGAAAAGGACCGAUCGUCAAGUAACAAAACUGCAAAAAAGGAAAACGCGUCCUUCAUUUGACGGCUUCCUUUUUUGUGUUGACCUCGUGUUUGUUGUUAAGCACUUGAGGUGUGACGCCCGCUUGGUGUGUGUGUGUGUACGUGUGUUUGUGUGUGUUCUUGGAUUUCUGGCAUUCUUGAGACAUGAAAAAGGAAAAGUAGCAUCCAUAUGUGGACCGGUGAACAAGUUAGGACAUAAAUCAUGGUCCCAAUGCGGAUAACUAUCACAUCUAAUAGAACAUCUAAUGUCUCAUUUGCACCCCUGCUGGUGAAGAUUAGGGUGGUCCCAAAAAGGAUGGAUUUUUCAAAUUGACUACGUCGGUUUUAAAAGUGCUCAACCUCUGAGCAACAUAUGAAAUAACAAGUGUCUGUAAAAAAAAUUGGGCCAAAAUUUAUAAUGAAGAAAUAUGUAUAUAGAGACAUGCUGUUAUAACUUGGAAGUAAAAUAAUGAAGAUUACAAACAAAAAAAUCCAACAACAACAAAAAAAUUACUAAAAGCAGUCUUUUUCUCGCAAUGUGUCGACUUUUUCCUUAAAAAAAUCGGGAACAAUUCUCAUGUUCUUUCUGUUUCCGUAAUAUCGCUAUAUUUUCUCGUAAAAUUAUUACUUUUUUUAAUGCAAAACGGUUACGUUGGUCAUAUAAAAUUCCGACUUUUAUCGCAAUGUUGCCAAUUUUUUGGGUUUUCUUGGAAAAGAGUGAAAUUUUUCGAGUAAAAUUCAGAUUAUUAUUAUAAAAUCGUCAACAUUUUUAAGUUUUCCUGUGAAAGUAAAAUGACGACUCUUUUCAUGAAAUUGCCCACAUCUUGUAAAAUUGCGACUGUCGAGUAAAGUAUUGCACAAAUGUUCAGGGUUUUUUUUUUGUAAAAUUUGGACUCGCGUUGAGCAAAAUGACAACUUUUGUUACAAUACUAGCAAAAUUUGAUGUUUUUCUUGUUAAAUUGUGACCUUUUUCUUGUGAAAUUCCAACUCAUUUUUUAUAUUUGCUUAGUAUGUAUAUAUUAUUGAUGUUGUAAAUACACUUCUUUGUUUAUCUACAAAGGGUGGUCCUAAAGAGGAUUUUGGAGGUUUCAAGAAGGUAACAAAUACAAGAAUGUGUGUGUGCGUGUGUGUGCGUGUGUACGUGUGUGUUAGGUGUCGUAAGCAGAGACGAGGGUCCUGGGGAGGAAGGGAGACCAGACAGACAGACAGAUGGCAGCUGACAAAUGUUUUCAGACUAGCCCAAUUAAAAGAAUGUUUGCUUCUUCCUGUGGACGCAUUGCUGAGGGGCGGCGGUGGUCCUGCCAUUGUGUUGCCGAGGGUUUCCAAAUCAAAGUGUGCAGGAAAUGCAUGUUGGGACUGUCGUUUCCGCCCUCCUUCUCCCCGGACCCCUGAGCAGACUUUGCAGGAGCCAGGAGGUCAAGCAGGAAAGACACAAGGGUGGUUCCUGAUCAGGGAUAUCCUGCCUUUCUGGCGUCCACACAAGGCCGCCAUCGUUAGUGGAGGCACGUCGUUUCCGAGGGCGACGGCGGUGGAAGACGCUCCGGAUCUUGGCCUUAUUGUGUAGGCGACUGCACAAAGUCUCCCUUCUUCAUCUCUCCUCCCGCAUCCUGUCGGUUUGCUCCGGCUGCUAAAAGGGCUUCUCUGUGACCUCAGCUGCACGCUUUUAGUGUGCCGGCUUGCAGAGUACGGCGAAGAGGUGGCGACUUGUCCAGGGUGUACGGUGCCUUCCGCCCGAAUGCAGGUGAGAGAGGCUCCAGCGACCCCGAACGGGACAAGCAGUAGGAAAUUGAUGGAUGGGGUUGAAUUCAUUUAAGUUAUGUUAGCAGGCAAACACCUGUGAUUAAUCAUGAUUAAUCAGAAUUCAAAAGUGGAAUUACAUUUUUUUUGUAAUUAAUCAUCCAAAUAUUGUGGUCUUUUUUAAAUUAAUGUAAAUCAUGCAUGUGGGUAUAAA